RNAcentral lists this ribosomal RNA (498 nucleotides) under uncultured bacterium. RNAcentral describes it as "bacterial SSU rRNA". It matches the Rfam family "Bacterial small subunit ribosomal RNA", at positions 26 to 534 of the family's 1533-position model. The record is from RNAcentral.
AGGAUAAACGCUGGCGGCGUGCCUAACACAUGCAAGUCGAACGUCCUUUCUUGCUUCGGUGAGAGAGGGAGUGGCGGACGGGUGAGUAACACAUGGGUGACCUGGCCUGAAGUGAGGGAUACCGGCGAGAAAUCGCCGACAAGCCCGCAUAGGUUCUUCUGGUGGAGCGGAGAGAGCAAAGUUUCACGCGAGUGAGAUGCUUUGGGAUGGGCCUGUGGCCGAUUAGCUAGUUGGUGGGGUAAGAGCCUACCAAGGCGACGAUCGGUAGCUGGUCUGAGAGGACGAUCAGCCACACUGGGAUUGAGAACGGCCCAGACUCCUACGGGGGGCAGCAGUGAGGAAUUUUCCGCAAUGGGCGCAAGCCUGACGGAGCAACGCCGCGUGCAGGAGGACGCUUUUCGGAGUGUAAACUGCUUUUCUGUGGGAAGAGCAAGGACGGUACCACAGGAAGAAGCCCCGGCUAACUACGUGCCAGCAGCCGCGGUAAUACGUAGGGGG